Molecule: ribosomal RNA, 880 nt
Filed under: uncultured archaeon
Lineage: Archaea
Description: bacterial SSU rRNA
Rfam family: Archaeal small subunit ribosomal RNA
Source: RNAcentral
CUCCCGAUGAUCCUGCCGCAACUGACUGCUAUCUGGAUUGCCUACUACUACAUGAUACUAGCUCUAUACCUACCUUGCCGACGGCAUCGGUCACACCUGUUCCCCCUAACCUAUGGACGUGCACUCCCUCUUCCAAACUGAAAAUAACCCCGAUACAUCAUUAUGCCUGCCAGUGGCUGUACGAAUGCAAACAACUUACUGCCGUAAGAUGCGACUGCCUCACUAGCCCGCUUGUCGGUGCAGGAAUGUCGCCCCGCCGCUAUCACUAGUGCAGGCUCCGAGAGCAGAAGCCCGGAGAUGUGCACUUGUAGACGCUCACCCCGGUUCCUAUGGUCGCUCACUCGCUGAGCACCUUCAGCCUGCUGCAAAGCGCGACUACGUCACUCCCAGUGAUUUCUGUUGAAGAAAUCUUUUGUCAGUCGUAAACCCUCAGACGAAUAAGGGGUGGGCAAGUGUGGUCUCAGCCGCCGCGGUAAUACCAGCACCUCGAGUGGUCAGGAGGUUUAUUGAGCGUAAAGCAUCAGUGGCGGGCUACGCAAGUCUCCGGUUAAAUCCACCGGCUCAACAGAUGGGCUCCCGGCGAUACUACAUAGCUAGGGAGCGGGACAGGUAGACGCUAUUCUGCGGGUAGGGGUAAAAUCCACUGAUCCAUAGAGGACCACCAGUGGUGAAGGCGGUCUCCCCGACUGCGUUAGAGGGGGAGGGAUGCAAGCUGGGGGAGCAAGCCGGAUUCGAUACCCGGGUAGUCCCAGCGGUAAACGAUGCAAACUAGGUGAUGCUUUUGCGUAUGACCAAUGCAGGACCGCAGGGAAGCCGUUAAAUUUUCCACCUGGGAACUACGAACGCAAUUUUACAACUUUAAGGAAUUGGUGGGGGAGCA